UGGGGAAUUUUGGACAAUGGGCGAAAGCCUGAUCCAGCAAUGCCGCGUGUGUGAAGAAGGCCUUCGGGUUGUAAAGCACUUUUGUCCGGAAAGAAAUCCUUGGCUCUAAUACAGUCGGGGGAUGACGGUACCGGAAGAAUAAGCACCGGCUAACUACGUGCCAGCAGCCGCGGUAAUACGUAGGGUGCAAGCGUUAAUCGGAAUUACUGGGCGUAAAGCGUGCGCAGGCGGUUUGCUAAGACCGAUGUGAAAUCCCCGGGCUCAACCUGGGAACUGCAUUGGUGACUGGCAGGCUAGAGUAUGGCAGAGGGGGGUAGAAUUCCACGUGUAGCAGUGAAAUGCGUAGAGAUGUGGAGGAAUACCGAUGGCGAAAGGCAGCCCCCUGGGCCAAUACUGACGCUCAUGCACGAAAGCGUGGGGAGCAAACAGGAUUAGAUACCCUGGUAGUCCACGCCCUAAACGAUGUCAACUAGUUGUUGGGGAUUCAUUUCCUUAGUAACGUAGCUAACGCGUGAAGUUGACCGCCUGGGGAGUACGGUCGCAAGAUUAAAAACUCAAAUGAAUUGACGGGGUCAUAGCUGUUUCCU
Molecule: ribosomal RNA, 587 nt
Filed under: uncultured bacterium
Lineage: Bacteria
Description: partial 16S ribosomal RNA
Rfam family: Bacterial small subunit ribosomal RNA
Source: RNAcentral